AGAGUUUGAUCCUGGCUCAGGAUGAACGCUGGCGGCGUGCCUAACACAUGCAAGUCGAACGAGGUAAAUGAGAUGAAGUUUUCGGAUGGAUUCUUAUUUACCGAGUGGCGGACGGGUGAGUAACGCGUGGGUAACCUGCCUCAUACAGGGGGAUAACGGUUAGAAAUGACUGCUAAUACCGCAUAAGCGCACAGUACCGCAUGGUACGGUGUGAAAAACUCCGGUGGUAUGAGAUGGACCCGCGUCUGAUUAGCUAGUUGGUGGGGUAACGGCCCACCAAGGCGACGAUCAGUAGCCGACCUGAGAGGGUGACCGGCCACAUUGGGACUGAGACACGGCCCAGACUCCUACGGGAGGCAGCAGUGGGGGAUAUUGCACAAUGGAGGAAACUCUGAUGCAGCGACGCCGCGUGAGUGAAGAAGUAUUUCGGUAUGUAAAGCUCUAUCAGCAGGGAAGAAAUGAGCGGUACCUGACUAAGAAGCCCCGGCUAACUACGUGCCAGCAGCCGCGGU
RNAcentral lists this ribosomal RNA (512 nucleotides) under human intestinal firmicute CO2. Its description in RNAcentral is "bacterial SSU rRNA". It matches the Rfam family "Bacterial small subunit ribosomal RNA", at positions 8 to 521 of the family's 1533-position model. The record is from RNAcentral.